RNAcentral lists this long non-coding RNA (2359 nucleotides) under Canis lupus familiaris (dog). RNAcentral's name for it is "lncRNA (ENSCAFG00000051879.1)". Lineage: Eukaryota; Metazoa; Chordata; Mammalia; Carnivora; Canidae. The record is from RNAcentral.
GGAUCGAGUCCCACGUCGGGCUCCCGGUGCAUGGAGCCUGCUUCUCCCUCUGCCUGUGUCUCUGCCUCUCUCUCUCUCUCACUGUGUGCCUAUCAUAAAUAAAUAAAAAAUUUAAAAAAAAAAGGGAAAAAAAACCCCUCUAAUAUGAUAGUAUUGAAUCUUAAGCAAAUGUUAGGUAGAUGAGGAGUCACUGUCUUUUCCACCAUUGCAUACAUUCUUGACCACCCUGACUUGGAAAAUGGCAAACAAUGUAUGCAUUCACUCAUUCGACUGAAACACUCACCCAUUUAUUCACUCAGGGAACCUUUUACCCAGCAUCUCCAUGGCCCCAGGCCGUGUGCUGGGGGCAGCAUUAGAAACGAAAGGAAACACUCUUUCCAUCCUAGAACCAGGCAUGGAAGUCAGGGAAGUACAGGGACAGAAUGUCAGUAGGCUCUGGACAUGGUCCCCACCGCGCCAGUAGGAGUGUAGACACACCCCCUUCACCCCAUCUGCCGGGACUGGCGAGCAUUCUCUAGGAAGCACCACCAAACCACAUGUCUGCAAGUAUGGGUGGGCGUCCAUGUGAACGAAACGGUGGUGGUGAGGGCUCGGGGAGGUCAACUGUACACCUUCCAACUGAGAAGACAGGAAGUUUGGGGAGCCAGAGCUUUAUUGUCAUGGCUGGAAAACAGAAGGUGUCUUUGGGAAAGGUGUGGGGAACAGCGUCAAGGUCAUCAUACGCCCCAAAUCACAAGGCACACAGGUUGCACACUGUCCUGAUUCCAAGCGAGAGGCCGCAAAAGAUUGCACAGACGUGGUGUGAACAUAUUUGUCAUAUUUAAUAGCAUCCCCCGAGCAGUGCCAUUUCAGGGAACAUGCUGGAUGCCGGGCUAGGGUGCAGAGUCUGUUUCUGCCGGGCAUGUGUGGGCUGGAGUCUUCCCAUUGCCAACAACCUCUCAACCUGGUGGAGAUCCUGCUGCUUCCCAACUGUUAGGGUGCUCGCUCCAGAUGUAGCCACGAUGGUCACCAGCACGGGUUCCCCGGGGGGCAGGGCACGCUGUUCCUGGGGAGCUAGAGGAAUCCGAGAAGUGCAAUACGACCACCCUCUCGGGGCCAGGAGUGAGAGCCUGCCUACAGCUGUACGCUCCAGCACUGAGCAAGCACCGCCGCCAGCCAGGCCGGGGCCCUUCCGUCGUCCAACCUGAGUUUGGUCCUUUGCGGCAAAUGCAGGGCAUGCGUGCGAGAAGAGUGAGCCAUCUGGGUGAGUGAGGAGCUCGCACGGCCUACACAAGCACGUGGCCUUACCUUGAGCGGCUUCAGGGCAGCUGCAGGGAGCAAGAAGGUGUUCUGGGUUGGUUGCUUUUGGGAUAAUUUCAGGUUGAUAAGUUUUAGGCGGGAAGUGAGAGGAACGGAGCCGGUCGACGCUUGGCAUCAGCCAAGAAAGUGGAAUAAAUGCAGAUCUUGGGUCACUUUUAGGGGGGGCCCACCAUGAGUGAGCCAUUCAUCAGACUAGUUUGAAGCAGUCAGAUGGCAGGGCUCUUUUUUCCUUCUCAGAACUUCCUAAUAAUGCUCUCAUCCAUCAUGUCCCCUCUUCUGGGCCAUCUGAUUAGAAAAAAAAUAAAAAAAAUAAAAAAAUCAUAGAUCUAGUCUCUCCUAAAGAAGCCAAAGCAAUGAUUUCUCCAUAGACUGUCAUGAUUGUAUUUUAAGAAAUGGAUACAGGGACCAAGAAAUGGAUAUAGGGAUAUAGACCUCUAGGGAGAGGUCUGUUAUGACUCUACCGUUCUAUAAAGUGACCAUCCGCAUACUUGGAAAACCUACAAAUAGUUGUGUUUUCUCAACGCAAGGGCUUUCGGGAACAUGGGGAGCCCGCCUGUUCUUAGACGUUUGGCCAAAGUGCAGAAGCAGCGGCUGGAAGAGGUGGAAUGUAGCAAGGCAAAGUCUUCCUACUGUCGUCUGAGGUCGGUGGCUCCUAAUACGAGUGGCUUGGAGCUUCUGGGGGGUGGGGAAAAAUGAGUGGGGGCUCCAGUGGGCAGAAGCUCUGAAAAGAAAAAUCUUCUAAGCCUUUCCUUCUAAGCUGGGAGCCCAGUGCCUCCGUUGAUGUAGGAAGGAGAUGGGGACAACCAUACACACCCCUGAAGAUUUCUCUUAAAAAAAUGGGAAAUUAGGGGCGUCUGGGUGGCUCAGUGGGUGAAGCAUCUGCCUUGGGCUCAGGUCAUGAUUACAGGGUCCUGGGAUUGAGCUCCGCCUUGGGCUCCCUGCUCAUCGGGGAGCCUGCUUCUCCCUCUCCUCCUUGCUCGUGCUCUGUCUCUUGCUCUCUCAAAUAAAUAAAAAAUAAAAUCUUAAAAAAAAAGUGGGAAAUCAGAUGAUACCUAAUAAA